Long non-coding RNA from Passer domesticus (house sparrow), 599 nucleotides. RefSeq lists it as uncharacterized. The transcript has 2 exons. The record is from RefSeq and is a predicted model, not a curated record. Lineage: Eukaryota; Metazoa; Chordata; Aves; Passeriformes; Passeridae.
UGCUUGCCUUGUACUAAAAUCUUGCAGAGUAUGCUACACUGGCCAAUAAACUCCCAAGUGCAAAGUAACAGAAGAUCAGCCUCUUACAGGCGUGUGUUGGUAGUGUUGCUGAGCUUGUUUUUGAGCCAACGGACAAUUUUUGUCAGUUGGAUGACUUACAUUCUGAACUGUUAACAAUCUCCACCCACUUUUUAAAAUCACUUCCUGCAAUAGGUGGGAAUGUAAAGUAGACCAAUCCUACAUCUGUGAGCAUAGACCCAUGAACAAUUUCUAGCUAUGAUUUUGGCUUUCUAGCUCCAAAAGAUUUUAAAAACCCAGCUCCAAGUAAAUGCUCUGCCCACUUUAGGCCUCCUUCAGCCCUGCACACUGUAUCCACAUGUGUACAUGCAACAGUUUUUUCUUUAGUUGUGUAGCCUACAGUCUGGGAGAAAGUCUGCUUGUGCCAUGUCCCCAAACAUUUGAAGAAAUUGAUCAUUCCAUCUCUUUCUUUGCAAUGGAUGGAUUUUUCUCAGUGCACUGUCUGGAAAUGUAUUUUGCCCUGCUUUGCUUCAUGUCUUCCUCAAACACUUCUGUAAAAAUUUGCAUUCUUAUGAUAUAUA